UACGUAGGGUGCAAGCGUUGUCCGGAAUUAUUGGGCGUAAAGAGCUCGUAGGCGGUUCGUCACGUCGGCUGUGAAAUCCCGAGGCUCAACCUCGGGUCUGCAGUCGAUACGGGCGGACUUGAGUACUGCAGGGGAGACUGGAAUUCCUGGUGUAGCGGUGAAAUGCGCAGAUAUCAGGAGGAACACCGAUGGCGAAGGCAGGUCUCUGGGCCACUACUGACGCUGAGAAGCGAAAGCAUGGGGAGCGAACAGG
Molecule: ribosomal RNA, 253 nt
Filed under: uncultured bacterium
Lineage: Bacteria
Description: partial 16S ribosomal RNA
Rfam family: Bacterial small subunit ribosomal RNA
Source: RNAcentral